Molecule: ribosomal RNA, 256 nt
Filed under: uncultured bacterium
Lineage: Bacteria
Description: partial 16S ribosomal RNA
Rfam family: Bacterial small subunit ribosomal RNA
Source: RNAcentral
UACGUAGGGGGCAAGCGUUGUCCGGAUUUAUUGGGCGUAAAGAGCGUGUAGGCGGCCAGGUAGGUCAGCUGUGAAAACUCGAGGCUCAACCUCGAGACGCCGGUUGAAACCAUCUGGCUAGAGUCCGGAAGAGGAGAGUGGAAUUCCUGGUGUAGCGGUGAAAUGCGCAGAUAUCAGGAGGAACACCGGUGGCGAAGGCGGGUCUCUGGGCCGAUAUUGACGCUGGAGGAGCGAAAAGCGUUGGGGAGCGAACAGG